This 762-nucleotide ribosomal RNA is filed under the name Chaetothyrina mangiferae. RNAcentral's name for it is "eukaryotic LSU rRNA". It matches the Rfam family "Eukaryotic large subunit ribosomal RNA", at positions 140 to 935 of the family's 3401-position model. Lineage: Eukaryota; Fungi; Ascomycota; Dothideomycetes; Mycosphaerellales; Phaeothecoidiellaceae. The record is from RNAcentral.
GAGUUGUAAUUUGCAGAGGAUGCUUCGGGCGCGGCGGACCAAGUCCCCUGGAACGGGGCGCCAUAGAGGGUGAGAGCCCCGUCGGGUCGGCCGCCAAGCCUGUGUGAAGCUCCUUCGACGAGUCGAGUAGUUUGGGAAUGCUGCUCUAAACGGGAGGUAGACCCCUUCUAAAGCUAAAUAUUGGCCAGAGACCGAUAGCGCACAAGUAGAGUGAUCGAAAGAUGAAAAGCACUUUGAAAAGAGGGUUAAACAGUACGUGAAAUUGUUGAAAGGGAAGCGCUUGUGACCAGACGUGCGCCGGGUGUUCAGCGGGCGUUCUGCCCGGUGUACUCGCCCCGGCGCAGGCCAGCGUCGGUUCGGAUGGGGGGACAAAGGCCCCGGGAAUGUGGCUCCUCCGGGAGUGUUAUAGCCCGGGGCGUCAUGCCCCCGCCCGGACCGAGGUUCGCGCUCUGCAAGGACGCUGGCGUAAUGGUCCCCAGCGGCCCGUCUUGAAACACGGACCAAGGAGUCGAGGUUUUGCGCGAGUGUUUGGGUGUCAAACCCGCACGCGUAAUGAAAGUGAACGCAGGUGGGAGCUUCGGCGCACCACCGACCGAUCCUGAUGUUCUCGGAUGGAUUUGAGUAGGAGCGUAGGGCCUCGGACCCAAAGAUGGUGAACUAUACGUGGAUAGGGUGAAGCCAGAGGAAACUCUGGUGGAGGCUCGCAGCGGUUCUGACGUGCAAAUCGAUCGUCAAAUCUGCGUAUGGGGGCGAAAGACUAAU